This 30-nucleotide non-coding RNA is filed under the name Mus musculus (house mouse). The record is from RNAcentral. Lineage: Eukaryota; Metazoa; Chordata; Mammalia; Rodentia; Muridae.
UGGUAAACACGAUUUCCUCCUCAUUCAGAC